This 373-nucleotide ribosomal RNA is filed under the name uncultured organism. Its description in RNAcentral is "bacterial SSU rRNA". It matches the Rfam family "Bacterial small subunit ribosomal RNA", at positions 526 to 896 of the family's 1533-position model. The record is from RNAcentral.
CGUAGGAGACGAGCGUUUUCCGGAUUUACUGGGCGUAAAGCGUGUGCAGGCGGUUCGGCAAGUUGGAUGUGAAAUCUCCCGGCUCAACGUGGGAGGGGUCGUUCAAUACUACCGAACUUGAGGUCAUCAGAGGAAGGUGGAAUUCCGGGUGUAGUGGUGAAAUGCGUAGAUAUCCGGAGGAACACCAGUGGCGAAGGCGGCCUUCUGGGAUGAUCCUGACGCUCAGACACGAAAGCUAGGGGAGCGAACGGGAUUAGAGACCCCGGUAGUCCUAGCUGUAAACGAUGUAGACUUGGCGUCGGAGGGUUCAAAACCUUCGGUGUCGUAGCUAACGCGAUAAGUCUACCGCCUGGGGACUACGGCCGCAAGGUUA